RNAcentral lists this transfer RNA (74 nucleotides) under Bacillota bacterium. Its description in RNAcentral is "tRNA-Met". It matches the Rfam family "tRNA". From Rfam's summary of the family: Transfer RNA (tRNA) molecules are approximately 80 nucleotides in length. The record is from RNAcentral. Lineage: Bacteria; Bacillati; Bacillota.
CGCGGGGUGGAGCAGUUCGGUAGCUCGUCGGGCUCAUAACCCGAAGGUCGCAGGUUCAAAUCCUGCCCCAGCAA